Molecule: transfer RNA, 76 nt
Filed under: Candidatus Koribacter versatilis Ellin345
Lineage: Bacteria; Pseudomonadati; Acidobacteriota; Terriglobia; Terriglobales; Candidatus Korobacteraceae
Also listed under: 2 other names
Description: tRNA-Lys (TTT) (tRNA-Lys-TTT-1-1)
Rfam family: tRNA
About the family: Transfer RNA (tRNA) molecules are approximately 80 nucleotides in length. Their secondary structure includes four short double-helical elements and three loops (D, anti-codon, and T loops). Further hydrogen bonds mediate the characteristic L-shaped molecular structure. tRNAs have two regions of fundamental functional importance: the anti-codon, which is responsible for specific mRNA codon recognition, and the 3' end, to which the tRNAs corresponding amino acid is attached (by aminoacyl-tRNA synthetases). tRNAs cope with the degeneracy of the genetic code in two manners: having more than one tRNA (with a specific anti-codon) for a particular amino acid; and 'wobble' base-pairing, i.e. permitting non-standard base-pairing at the 3rd anti-codon position.
Source: RNAcentral
GAGCGCGUAGCUCAGUUGGUAGAGCACCUGACUUUUAAUCAGGUGGUCAUGGGUUCGAUCCCCAUCGCGCUCACCA